RNAcentral lists this ribosomal RNA (457 nucleotides) under uncultured bacterium. RNAcentral's name for it is "bacterial SSU rRNA". It matches the Rfam family "Bacterial small subunit ribosomal RNA", at positions 343 to 793 of the family's 1533-position model. The record is from RNAcentral.
GGGAGGCAGCAGUGGGGAAUAUUGCACAAUGGGCGCAAGCCUGAUGCAGCCAUGCCGCGUGUAUGAAGAAGGCCUUCGGGUUGUAAAGUACUUUCAGCAGUGAGGAAGGUGGUAGUGUUAAUAGCACUAUCAUUUGACGUUAGCUGCAGAAGAAGCACCGGCUAACUCCGUGCCAGCAGCCGCGGUAAUACGGAGGGUGCGAGCGUUAAUCGGAAUUACUGGGCGUAAAGCGCAUGCAGGUGGUUUGUUAAGUCAGAUGUGAAAGCCCGGGGCUCAACCUCGGAAUUGCAUUUGAAACUGGCAGACUAGAGUACUGUAGAGGGGGUAGAAUUUCAGGUGUAGCGGUGAAAUGCGUAGAGAUCUGAAGGAAUACCGGUGGCGAAGGCGGCCCCCUGGACAGAUACUGACACUCAGAUGCGAAAGCGUGGGGAGCAAACAGGAUUAGAUACCCUGGUAG